AAAGAAUUGACAUACGCAAAGUGCCUUGGACAAACUUGCGGUUCAGAUAAACCAAAUCUCACUCAAACACUCUGCUCCUGCCAGCUUUUGGGAACCUGAAAGAUGCCUGAAGUUCACAACACAGAGGAUAUCCUGCCUGGAGCUACAGAUAAGUAUCCUGCAAUCCAGAUCUCCCACUGCAAAUGAUUCAUUUCCCCUCUUGGCCUGGCUGUGUGUGCACGUGUCUGGUGGUGGUGAGCCAGAGCUGACCAGUGCCCUGGGACAAAGAAAGG
Molecule: long non-coding RNA, 272 nt
Organism: Poecile atricapillus (Black-capped chickadee)
Lineage: Eukaryota; Metazoa; Chordata; Aves; Passeriformes; Paridae
Exons: 3
Source: RefSeq, a predicted model, not a curated record